GUGGCGUGAUGAACGUGUUUAUCCAUUCGCUGAGCGCCGCUGGUUCUGUCCCUCGCCGGCCGUACGGUCCGUUCUGGGCCGUGGGGUUACAGUGGUCUGGUUCUGCUCGGCUUCUCCAAUGUUCUAUUGGGUCGACCGCGGCGGGAUCUGACACACUGGUGCGAGGGUCAGGCCGGCUCUGACAAAGACGAAUAGACGUGUCUGAUCAC
This 209-nucleotide small nucleolar RNA is filed under the name Carassius auratus (goldfish). Its description in RNAcentral is "Small nucleolar RNA SNORD17 (ENSCARG00000013550.1)". It matches the Rfam family "Small nucleolar RNA SNORD17". From Rfam's summary of the family: The snoRNA HBI-43 belongs to the C/D family of snoRNAs, guiding 2'O-ribose methylation at position U3797 of the 28S rRNA. Pseudouridylation in position U3797 is predicted to be guided by the H/ACA snoRNA ACA48. Lineage: Eukaryota; Metazoa; Chordata; Actinopteri; Cypriniformes; Cyprinidae. The record is from Rfam by way of RNAcentral.